AGAGGUCGCCAGUUCGAGUGAUGC
This 24-nucleotide non-coding RNA is filed under the name Arabidopsis thaliana (thale cress). The record is from RNAcentral. Lineage: Eukaryota; Viridiplantae; Streptophyta; Magnoliopsida; Brassicales; Brassicaceae.